Molecule: transfer RNA, 74 nt
Filed under: Demequina activiva
Lineage: Bacteria; Bacillati; Actinomycetota; Actinomycetes; Micrococcales; Demequinaceae
Description: tRNA-Lys
Rfam family: tRNA
About the family: Transfer RNA (tRNA) molecules are approximately 80 nucleotides in length. Their secondary structure includes four short double-helical elements and three loops (D, anti-codon, and T loops).
Source: RNAcentral
GGGCCUCUAGCUCAGUUGGUAGAGCAGCGGACUUUUAAUCCGUAGGUCGUGGGUUCGAGCCCCACGGGGCCCAC